Long non-coding RNA from Esox lucius (northern pike), 714 nucleotides. The record is from Ensembl. NCBI's taxonomy places the organism in Eukaryota, Metazoa, Chordata, Actinopteri, Esociformes, Esocidae.
AGAACAAUACACAACUGCAAUGAUAAAAAUUCUGGAUGAAACGUAACAAUUUAGUUCUGAUGAUUGUACCAAAUUUAUUGAUACUUCCUGUCCGGUAGAAACACCAGCUGUUUCUCAAUGUCAAGGAAGGAUCCUUCGAAGCCAGAAUUUGGAGGAUGCUACGUCAUCGAUGUCCGUCGAAGGACCGUUCCAAUGUCGAGGAUCCUCCGAAUCCCACCAAGGACUGAGUCCUUCGUUCUGAGAAUUUCCCAUAGACGGCAAAGGAUGCAUAUGUGUAUCCUUCGCGCUCCUAUAUUACCCACAAUCCUAUGCGCACGGCUUUUCCAGCUCGUUAAAAAAAAUAAAAAUGCCGGACCUAAGCGGAGUGACGGGGCAAUAUGCUUUUAAAUGGACUUAGGAACAAACGGAGACGUUUAUACGUCUCCGUUUAGAAAAAUAGCAGCUGUUUACCAGGGGGAGGGACACCGCGGCCAACGGAUAUCGGCUUAUUUUGGAGAAGAUGGGGAUCGGAGGGAGGGUCACCCAGGCCAAGAAGAAGUAGGACAAUCUGAAGAUGAAGUACAAUUAAGCCUUGGAUGGAGAGAGUGGAUCCACUCCUACAGCUACUGAAGGAGGACAUAAAAUACCAGAGGGAGGCAGAUGAGAGGAGGGAAGCAGAGGCCAGAGAGAGGUCAAAUAGAUUUUUUUCAUUGUUGGAGAGGUUGGGGGAAAAAU